CUGAGACACCAGCUCUCAUCUUGGCUGUAUUACAAAUCAGUUACAAGUGCAACCUGCAACUCAAAACCACACAGCUGAUUUAAAAUUAUGCAAGCAAGCAGUUCAGCUAAUUGUAUAAUGAUACCUAAAUUACUGAGAUCACCCUGCCUGGAAAGGUCCUCUGUCCUGACUAGGAGGAAACAACUGUUAACUGCACAGAACAAAACAACUCUUCCAUUGCAACUGUUCUAAUUAGAAGUGAUCAGGUUUGAAUCAGGACGCUGCCAUUUGAAUGAUAGUACCGACUGAUUUGGAGACAGUAAUACCAUCUGAUGCUGUGCGUGAGGAACAUGCCCAGCUGGAGAAGCUUUGAAGCAGUCUGAGUAGGAGAGUGAAGCUCUGUGAUAUAAUUAUUCUGGAAAAUAAAGACUGUCUUAGUCAAA
Long non-coding RNA from Calidris pugnax (ruff), 422 nucleotides. RefSeq lists it as uncharacterized. The transcript has 3 exons. NCBI's taxonomy places the organism in Eukaryota, Metazoa, Chordata, Aves, Charadriiformes, Scolopacidae. The record is from RefSeq and is a predicted model, not a curated record.